Molecule: long non-coding RNA, 384 nt
Organism: Oncorhynchus keta (chum salmon)
Lineage: Eukaryota; Metazoa; Chordata; Actinopteri; Salmoniformes; Salmonidae
Exons: 3
Source: RefSeq, a predicted model, not a curated record
GCUACUACGUCUGGUUAUCUCUACAGAAACCACAACUGCUACUACGUCUGGUUAUCUCUACAGAAACCACAACUGCUACUUCGUCUGGUUAUCUCUACAGAAACCACAACUGCUACUACGUCUGGUUAUCUCUACAGAAACCACAACUGCUACUACGUCUGGUUAUCUCUACAGAAACCACAACUGCUACUUCGUCUGGUUAUCUCUAUAGAAACCACAACUGCUACUUCAUCUGGUUAUCUCUACAGAAACCACAACUGCUACUUCGUCUGGUUAUCUCUACAGAAACCACAACUGCUACUACGUCUGGUUAUCUCUAUAGAAACCACAACUGCUACUUCGUCUGGUUAUCUCUACAGAAACCACAACUGCUACUACGUCUGG